UACGAAGGGUGCAAGCGUUAAUCGGAAUUACUGGGCGUAAAGGGUGCGUAGGCGGCCUUUUAAGUCGGAUGUGAAAGCCCCGGGCUUAACCUGGGAAUGGCAUCUGAUACUGGAAGGCUAGAAUCUGGAAGAGGGUGGUGGAAUUCCCGGUGUAGCGGUGAAAUGCGUAGAGAUCGGGAGGAACAUCAGUGGCGAAGGCGGCCACCUGGUCUAAGAUUGACGCUGAGGCACGAAAGCGUGGGGAGCAAACAGG
Molecule: ribosomal RNA, 253 nt
Filed under: uncultured bacterium
Lineage: Bacteria
Description: partial 16S ribosomal RNA
Rfam family: Bacterial small subunit ribosomal RNA
Source: RNAcentral